UACAGAGGUCUCAAGCGUUGUUCGGAUUCAUUGGGCGUAAAGGGUGCGUAGGUGGCGAGGCAAGUCAGAUGUGAAAUCUCAGGGCUCAACCCUGAAACUGCACUUGAUACUGCGUGGCUCGGGUACUGGAGAGGAGACUGGAAUUUACGGUGUAGCAGUGAAAUGCGUAGAUAUCGUAAGGAAGACCAGUGGCGAAGGCGAGUCUCUGGACAGUUACCGACGCUGAGGCACGAAGGUCAGGGGAGCAAACGGG
RNAcentral lists this ribosomal RNA (253 nucleotides) under uncultured bacterium. Its description in RNAcentral is "partial 16S ribosomal RNA". It matches the Rfam family "Bacterial small subunit ribosomal RNA", at positions 524 to 776 of the family's 1533-position model. The record is from RNAcentral.